RNAcentral lists this ribosomal RNA (330 nucleotides) under uncultured bacterium. RNAcentral describes it as "bacterial SSU rRNA". It matches the Rfam family "Bacterial small subunit ribosomal RNA", at positions 568 to 898 of the family's 1533-position model. The record is from RNAcentral.
CGUGUAGGCGGCUCAUCAAGUCUGGUGUGAAAACGCAAGGCUUAACCUUGCGUAUGCGCUGGAAACUGGUGGGCUUGAGUUCCUGAGGGGAAGCUGGAAUUCCAGGUGUAGGGGUGAAAUCUGUAGAUAUCUGGAAGAACACCGGUGGCGAAGGCGAGCUUCUAUCAGAGGACUGACGCUGAGGCGCGAAAGCGUGGGGAGCAAACAGGAUUAGAUACCCUGGUAGUCCACGCUGUAAACGAUGUGCACUAGGCGUGGGGCCCGUACGGGUUCUGUGCCGUAGUUAACGUGUUAAGUGCACCGCCUGGGGAGUAUGCUCGCAAGGGUGAA